This 500-nucleotide ribosomal RNA is filed under the name uncultured bacterium. RNAcentral describes it as "bacterial SSU rRNA". It matches the Rfam family "Bacterial small subunit ribosomal RNA", at positions 457 to 960 of the family's 1533-position model. The record is from RNAcentral.
CAUUCUUGGCACUCGACGGUACCAGAGGAAUAAGCACUGGCUAACUCCGUGCCAGCAGCCGCGGNUAAUACGGAGGGUGCAAGCGUUAUCCGGAUUUACUGGGUUUAAAGGGUGCGUAGGUGGGUUAGUAAGUCAGUGGUGAAAUCUUCGAGCUUAACUCGGAAACUGCCGUUGAUACUAUUAAUCUUGAAUAUCCUGGAGGUGAGCGGAAUAUGUCAUGUAGCGGUGAAAUGCUUAGAUAAGACAUAGAACACCGAUUGCGAAGGCAGCUCACUACGGGAUCAUUGACACUGAGGCACGAAAGCGUGGGGAUCAAACAGGAUUAGAUACCCUGGUAGUCCACGCCCUAAACGAUGGAUACUCGACAUUUGCGAUAUACUGUAAGUGUCUGAGCGAAAGCAUUAAGUAUCCCACCUGGGAAGUACGACCGCAAGUUGAAACUCAAAGGAAUUGACGGGGGUCCGCGCAASUGGGGAGCAUGUGGUUUAAUUCGAUGAUAC